Molecule: long non-coding RNA, 898 nt
Organism: Lathyrus oleraceus (garden pea)
Lineage: Eukaryota; Viridiplantae; Streptophyta; Magnoliopsida; Fabales; Fabaceae
Exons: 3
Source: RefSeq, a predicted model, not a curated record
UCGGGCUAAUUCAUCAUUAAUGUGCUUUCGGAUUCCGAUUUCGACUCAGUAUUGACAUGUUUGCCUCGACGAUUCGACCUAAAGGCAUCGCGAUUCCAAUUUCAACGGUUCGACAUCGCAUUUCCAACAGUUCAAUCCGGUUUCGUCGUGGUGGUUGCGGCGACAUUACCGGCUUCACAGGAUGGAUGAAACUUGGUUGUAGAGCCGAGAGACUUUCUGCAGAAGAGACUCUGAUGUAGAAUUGCAGAAGAUGAGGAUGGUGAAGUACAAGGUCAAAAAUGCAGAGUGAAGAUGAUGAUGAUAGUGAUGCAGAUGAAGAAGGGUUGAAGAUUGAAGAAGAGGUGAAGAAGAAGAUUGAAGUUCUGGUUGAUGAAAUGGUGAAGAUUGAAGGUGAAUGAUUGAAGAAGAUGCUGAAGAUAAAUGAAGAUUUUUUCUUGAAUGGGUGAAGAAGGUGCAGAAUGAAGGAGAUGCUGAAAAUGAAUUCCUCCUCUUGGCUGCAGAAUAUGGAUUCCUAAUUAUAAACUCUCUCCCUUUCAACUCUGUUGGAAUUCAGGUGAAAUCCUCUCUAAAUCUCUUUGAAAUUAACAAUCAGUUAGGAGUUAGUUACCACAUGUGAAUGUUAAGUGAGGUGGUAUCCUUUCAUAUUGGAGAACCUCUAUGGUGCAUGAUAUGUUAAGAUGUAUAACAUCUUCAUGGUUCAGUUGGAGACCAUGCUCCCUCCUACUACAAAUGCGCCCAAGGCAAAUGCAUACGGUUCGAAUGAGGGACAAGCACAUAAAUGCUAUGUAUUUGAAUAAAUUAGAAAUGGUUUGUAAUUGAAUCAAAAAUGUGUAUUAUCAAAUUUGGGAUUUAUUGUAACUUUGAAAUUGGAUCAAUGGUUUAUGGUUUGCAUAUUGGA